GGAUUCCUUGCUAUGAAAAUGCGGCAUUUGAAUGCAAUGGGUUUUCAUGUGAUCUUGGUCAAUAACUGGGAGAUGGACAAACUAGAGAUGGAAGAUGCAGUCACAUUUUUGAAGACUAAAAUCUAUUCAGUAGAAGCUCUUCCUGUUGCUGCUGUAAAUGUGCAAAGCACACAAUAAAGUGAAAAUCAACCUUUUCAUAUUAGGAGACAUGCAUUUGUAAAAAUUAAUAAAGAUGACAAGUCAGUUGUCAAUGGAAUUGAGCUAUCUGCUAAGACAAAAAAUGUUACCUCAGUUCACUAUUAAAAUUAAUUUUAGGAGUGGAAGAAAUGUUGUUACUGCCAUUUAAAAAUAUGCUGAGAAAAUUCCAGAAGGGUUAUUUUUCCAACCACACCUAUUCCCUCUAGUGCCCAGAUAUUUGAUUUGUGAGCUGUACGUUUCACCUUUUCAUCUUUGAUCUACUAAAAACUGGUUUCUUAGUUGUGAGGUGUCACAGGCAGGUUGAUGUGGGUAGUAGUCCUUGUCUUUGGAAUCUGAAUAUUUAUACUCCUGCUCUAAGCUGUUCUAAGACUUGGGGUUAUGCCUUUAAAUCAUUUUCAAGCAUUGGCCAAAUAAUAAUUGGACAAAGUUCUAAAGUUGUCAAGUGUGUAAGAAUUAGUGAGGUAGCUGUUGAAAAUGAGUGAGGAUGGUAUUUGUAUUUGUAAUAAGCACUGCAGGUAGAGAUAUUUCAUGGGUUAUAAUAAGAGAAACACAGAUGAGAUGUAGAUGGUAAGGAGUCUUACUGUUGUUGGGGUCCUUCCUUUCUCUUUCUUUUUUCCCCCUUACCCCUCCCACAAUUUCAUGAAGUCUUUU
RNAcentral lists this long non-coding RNA (849 nucleotides) under Homo sapiens (human). RNAcentral's name for it is "HSALNT0046277". The record is from RNAcentral. Lineage: Eukaryota; Metazoa; Chordata; Mammalia; Primates; Hominidae.